This is a long non-coding RNA of Lathyrus oleraceus (garden pea), 842 nucleotides long. RefSeq lists it as uncharacterized. The transcript is spliced from 2 exons. Lineage: Eukaryota; Viridiplantae; Streptophyta; Magnoliopsida; Fabales; Fabaceae. The record is from RefSeq and is a predicted model, not a curated record.
UUAAAGUCCAUUUGCAACUCAAAUGUCUCCUUUCUCUUUAGCUUUUCACGAGUUUUGAUUCUCUCAAUACUCACAUGCAUUAUCUCUCUCUCUUUUUCAUAAACAUGCUCUCUCUCUCCCUCUCUCUUUGUAUCCAUUCAUGUGAAGAAAAAAACACAUAGUAAAAAAAAAACUUCAAGCUCUCACUAUUUAAAACCACAAAUCAUUCAUGCAAACAAAGAUUUCCAACUUUAAUCUAUCUAUAACAUGCAUCAGAAGUCCAUAAACACACAAAAAUAAAAUCAAUUCCCUCAACCCCUUUUGAAUCCUAACACCCAAUCCACAAUUUCAAAAACAAUUACAUAAUACAAGACAAAAAUCAAAGAAAAAGGGUAAAAAUGAAGCAACAAAAGUGAAUCAACAAUUGAAUAAUGAAUCGAAAUCAACAAAGAUCUAUCGAUUUGGAGGCUUCAACGACUAUGAUCUAACUAGGUCUGUAGAGGAAUUCAUCAGCACUUCGUUCCUUUUUGCCCCCUUUUCAGAGUGAGUCAGGGUGUUCUUAUAUAGGAGAGAUUUUCUUAGUCAGAUUCGUGUGAGAGAUUUUGCAGAUCUUUCUCAAGUGUGUAAAGGUUGAAACUGAUUUGUGUGCUGGCAUAUUGGAGGAGAAAAAACGCGACUUGAUGAGUUGGAGAGAAGUUUUGUAACAAAACUCUUGCUCAAAACAUCUCCUGCUGUGAAUUUUCUUUUUACUGCAACUUGUAAACUGAGAUAACUUUGUUUUUUUAAUGUGAUUUAUAAUGUAAAUAUUAUGUUAAUUUCACUGAUGCAUAAUUAGUUUGAAUGCAAUGCGUUUUUCUGUGCAA